Molecule: long non-coding RNA, 668 nt
Organism: Cryptotermes secundus
Lineage: Eukaryota; Metazoa; Arthropoda; Insecta; Blattodea; Kalotermitidae
Exons: 3
Source: RefSeq, a predicted model, not a curated record
UGGAAGAAGAUGCGAAGAAGUUAAUGGGUGUAAGGAACUGGAAGAGAGCAGUGCAGGAUAGAGAGGAAUGGAGGGACUUGAUAUGGGAGGCCAACGCGUGACCUUGGGCUGUUGAAUGUUUAGUCUAUUGUUAGUGUUAUUUGGUUGUUUCAAUAAACUGUGAUAAUAUUCAUGUCCUCUGUAAUUAGCCGGAUGUGCACCUCCACAGACUACACAUUUUGCAGGGGUGUUUCUAGAUUUUUUGCAGCUCUGUGUGCUGUGCGACCGACCACAUUUUACACAUUCAUACGGUUUGUUACAAUAUGAUCUGGUAUGACCAUGUUGUCGCAGUCGCAUGCACUGUGGGAUCCCUUUGGCCUUUCUUGGAGUUUCUACUACAAUUGUUUCAUUUUGUAGUCUUGCUAGUUUGUAGAUUUCUUUGUUGUUAGUGUAAUAAAAGAUAAAUCUAUUUUUUUCCAUACAUUGUUUCAGGCUAACAUUACUGUGCUCGAUGUCUUCUUGCUGAUUUUCACUUCAGCCUUGACAGUUGCCUUUAUUGUGAUAGGUUGGAUAAUAAGGCAUCAGCACAAUGUCAAUGGAUUAUUAAAGGUUUGUGUUCCAGCUGGAUUGAGCAUUUGUCGUAGCCACAGGCUUCAAUUUAGCAGGCUAUUAUUUUUUCUUCGUGGUAA